This 253-nucleotide ribosomal RNA is filed under the name uncultured bacterium. RNAcentral's name for it is "partial 16S ribosomal RNA". It matches the Rfam family "Bacterial small subunit ribosomal RNA", at positions 524 to 776 of the family's 1533-position model. The record is from RNAcentral.
UACGUAGGGGGCAAGCGUUGUCCGGAAUCAUUGGGCGUAAAGCGUCCGCAGGUGGCAGUUCAAGUCUGCUGUCAAAGACCGGGGCUUAACUUCGGAAAGGCAGUGGAAACUGAACAGCUAGAGUAUGGUAGGGGCAGAGGGAAUUCCUGGUGUAGCGGUGAAAUGCGUAGAGAUCAGGAAGAACAUCGGUGGCGAAGGCGCUCUGCUGGACCAUAACUGACACUCAGGGACGAAAGCUAGGGGAGCGAAUGGG